This 305-nucleotide long non-coding RNA is filed under the name Rattus norvegicus (Norway rat). Its description in RNAcentral is "long non-coding RNA NONRATT030839". Lineage: Eukaryota; Metazoa; Chordata; Mammalia; Rodentia; Muridae. The record is from RNAcentral.
CUUUGCUCUUCUUGCUUGGUACAUAUUUGCCUUGGUUUUAUUGUUUUCUCUGCUUCUCCUCAGUCUAUUCAUCUAGGGGCAAUGAUCUCCAGCAGGGCUCUCCUCCUUUAUUCUUGCCCACUUUGUCUUGUUCUAGUUGUCCCAUGUCUUUCCAUACAUCUCUCCCCCCGAUUCUCUGUAUACUUGUUUACUCUAAUGAAGCCCAUCAUAAUUGAAUCACCCUACCUUCCCUUUUGGAGAUCUGUAAAGUGUAUGUAGCUCUGUAACCCCUGUAUUGGCCUCCCCUCUUCCCCACCCCCAUCUUU